Molecule: non-coding RNA, 735 nt
Organism: Etheostoma cragini (Arkansas darter)
Lineage: Eukaryota; Metazoa; Chordata; Actinopteri; Perciformes; Percidae
Source: the annotation of a RefSeq genome assembly
AAUCUUCAGUCUGUGCGAUGUACUUCUGUCCUGCUGACUGCUCUUGUACUUUGUGUAGAGCAUCAGAUGUCACAUCUCCAGCCUCAGGAUGAUGAACACACUCACUCUUCUGCUGGUUGCUCUCUCUCUGCCCUGUUGUACAGGUCAGAGUAUGGAGUCCAUUCCUUCCAGUUCAGUAGUGAAAAAGCCCGGGGAGACUCUGAGUCUCUCCUGCAGGGGAUCUGGCUUCACAUUUAGCUGCUGCAGCAUGCACUGGAUCAGACAACCUGCAGGAAAAGCACUGGAAUGGAUAGGUCGUGUUUACAGUGAUGCUAGUGGGACAGAUUACGCCAGCAGUGUGCAGGGACGAGUAGAGGUCACCAGAGAUAACAGCAACAGCAUGGUGUAUCUGAGACUGUCUAACUUAAAGCCAGAGGACUCUGCUGUGUAUUACUGUGCAAAACACACAGUGGUUAAAGGAAGCAGAAAGGCUUGACAAAAACCUCAUACAAAUUGUUUUCACAAAUACCUACAGGUGGCAGUAGAAAAUUAAACAUCAGAUGAUGCUAAUGAGAAUAUGACAGUGUCUCUAAUAACCCUCACAAAUACAUGACCACAAUGGAAGCAACAGCUGAUGUCAUGGUUUGUGACUUGCUGGUUUGUGACGGUUAAUAAUAUUUAUGCUUUUGACUGUGAACAGCAGGUGUUGAGAACAUAUUUAGAAAUGUAUGCAUGAUAUAUCCAGCAUGUUGAUGG